Molecule: non-coding RNA, 28 nt
Filed under: Rattus norvegicus (Norway rat)
Lineage: Eukaryota; Metazoa; Chordata; Mammalia; Rodentia; Muridae
Source: RNAcentral
UAUUGUGCAUGCACAGGUCCCUAUAGCA